UCCGGAAGUAAACAACACAAAGCUGCUUUUGCUCUCAAGAAAAGAAGCGCGCUUGGGAAGUAAUUACUUAUUUGUUUGCUGUAUUCAGUAACAUGUAUGGUGCAGGCAUGGAUCUGUGGUUAAGAAGGUUACUUUCCAAUAAAUGGGUUUCUGGUUCAAUCCCGCUACAUGACGCCUUGAGUGAGUUUCUUCUACUACAAACCUGGGUUGACCAAAGCCUCAUUAAUUGACUUGGUAGAUGGAUUACAAUCGACUCCAGUGCUCAACUGGUACUUAUUUAAUAAAAAUGUCACUGAUUGAAAAAGCUCAUCAUACACACACACACACACAUGGAUGGAAAGAGGUGACAAAUAAAAUAGCAGUCAAGUACUGGAGUUUAUAUAGCUGAACAAACAGUAGUACAAGAAGCAAUAAAAUAACCUCACUGGAAAAAAUAAAUUAAUUAAAAAUUAAUUAAGU
Long non-coding RNA from Octopus bimaculoides (California two-spot octopus), 459 nucleotides. RefSeq lists it as uncharacterized. The record is from RefSeq and is a predicted model, not a curated record. NCBI's taxonomy places the organism in Eukaryota, Metazoa, Mollusca, Cephalopoda, Octopoda, Octopodidae.